UGAGUGAACUAUGGUUAAGGAACUCGGCAAAAUGCAUGCGUAACUUCGGGAUAAGCAUGACCCCGUUAGGGUGAAGAGACUUGCUCUCCGAGCUCGAAGGGGUGGCACAGAAUUGGGGGAAGCGACUGUUUACUAAAAACACAGCAGCGUGCGAAGCCGUAAGGCGCUGUAUACGCUGUGACGCCUGCCCGGUGCUGGAAGGUCACGGGGAAGGGUUAGCCCUUGAGGCGAAGCUCUGAACCUAAGCCCCAGUAAACGGCGGCCGUAACUAUAACGGUCCUAAGGUAGCGAAAUUCCUUGUCGGGUAAGUUCCGACCUGCACGAAUGGCGUAACGACUUCCCUACUGUCUCAACCAUAGACUCAGCGAAAUUGAAGUACGAGUAAAGAUGCUCGUUAGCUGUAGAAGGACGGAAAGACCCCGUGGACCUUUACUAUAGCUUGGUAUUGAGUUUUGUUAUGCAUUGUGUAGGAUAGGUGGGAGGCUAGGAAGCAUGCACGCCAGUGUGUGUGGAGCCAUCCUUGAAAUACCACCCUGUGUAUGGCGAGACUCUAACCUAGGACCGUUAUCCGGUCCGGGAACAGUGCCAGGUGGGUAGUUUGACUGGGGCGGUCGCCUCCUAAAAUGUAACGGAGGCGCCCAAAGGUUCCCUCAGGCUGGUUGGCAAUCAGCCGUCGAGUGCAAUGGCACAAGGGAGCUUGACUGCGAGACGUACAUGUCGAGCAGGUGCGAAAGCAGGGCAUAGUGAUCCGGCGGUAGCGUGUGGAAGCGCCGUCGCUCAACGGAUAAAAGGUACCCCGGGGAUAACAGGCUAAUCUUCCCCAAGAGUCCAUAUCGACGGGAAGGUUUGGCACCUCGAUGUCGGCUCAUCGCAUCCUGGGGCUGAAGCAGGUCCCAAGGGUUGGGCUGUUCGCCCAUUAAAGCGGUACGCGAGCUGGGUUUAGAACGUCGCGAGACAGUUCGGUCCCUAUCCUCUACAGCCGGAAGUGACUUGAGAAAAGCUAUCCCUAGUACGAGAGGACCGGGAUGGACGCAGCUCUCGUGUGCCAGUUGUUCUGCCAAGAGCAUGGCUGGUUAGCGACCUGCGGAAGAGAUAACCGCUGAAAGCAUCUAAGUGGGAAGCUCCUUUCAAGAUGAGGUCACUCACAGGGUUAACCUGGUAAGGCCCGUGGUAGACGACCACGUUGAUAGGCCGGAAGUGUAAGCGUGGUAACACGUUCAGCUGACCGGUACUAAUCGGCCGAGGGCUUUGGCC
RNAcentral lists this ribosomal RNA (1254 nucleotides) under metagenome. RNAcentral describes it as "bacterial LSU rRNA". It matches the Rfam family "Bacterial large subunit ribosomal RNA", at positions 1691 to 2925 of the family's 2925-position model. The record is from RNAcentral.